Homo sapiens (human) is the source of this 1606-nucleotide long non-coding RNA. Ensembl annotates it as long intergenic non-protein coding RNA 472. NCBI's taxonomy places the organism in Eukaryota, Metazoa, Chordata, Mammalia, Primates, Hominidae. The record is from Ensembl.
GCAGCGCGGCCGGUGGGGACUGCGGGGCGGGCCGGAGUCCGUCCGAGGGCUCCCGCACCUCGGGCUGCGGGAACAUUAAAAUCUCCCCAGAUGCUCACUGCUCUGAUCAUUUCCCCUACAGCACCAGACAUGUUGGCAUCAUCUCUUAGUUGGGCCAUGUGGCCAGGGAACCCUUCAUGAAACCACCUCUGCAGUCCUGGAGAGUUGCUGUAGAAGAAGGAAAAGAGAGGAAGACAACACAACACAGGAGGGGAUAAGUACCUCUGGACACAAUGGAAGUAGUAGUUGUUGAGCAGAGGGAAAGGGAUAGGAGAAGGAUGUGGACUGCAGUGCUGCAGUGCCAGUGGACAUGAGAGAAAGAUCCCAUAGCCCUCUUGGUCUUGGUUGGAACAGGAGGAAAAUGAAAACUGGACAUCCAUCUUAGGACUUAAUCCUACGGAGACCACAAGCUGGAAGAGGCACUCAAUACUAGCAUGGCUUCUGUGGCAUUUUGAUGAGUAGUAUGGGCUCCACACUGAAAUAUUAAUAUCUUAUUGUUUUGAUGAUGAUGAUGAUGUUCAUUGGCCCAGGGCAAAAGGUAAAGGUUGUGUUAUAAAGCUGAUCUAUUCAAUAUCUGUGGAUGUUAACUCCACCCCAUCCCCUUAUUGAACAAUUACGAUGCCUAUAAAUAUUGUAUUGAGAAAGAAAAAAAAAACUAAGGCAGAAGAUAUCAUAUUACCUGUCCAUAUGUGACAUUUUGGCUGGCCAAGCCAUAAUGGCCAAAGAGGAGCAACUGUCAAAAUUUAAGUGGGGUUAGAAAAGAAGAGAGGAACUUGCACGUUUGCACCUACAAGGACCCUCUUUUCUCCUCUGGUAGCCAUGGAAACCACUCCUUGGACCUCCUUUCAAGAGACUCUGCAUGGGGAGCACAGUUGACUGACAGCUCCAAUUGCUGCUCCUUCGAGUCCACCAUGGCACUCAUGCCCACGCAAUGUUUCCUCCAGGGUUCUCCAGGUAGAGAUGGAGCAGGUGGGGUUGCCAGAGGCAGGCCAUCAGGCCAUCUUGACUGAUGUGGGACUUCUAAUGCUUCCAGGUCUGAAGGCUCACCUGCCACUUCCUGCUCCCUCCUCCUUUACCCUUCACAGGAGUUUCCUCCCCAUAAAUUUCUUGUGUAUCUAGUCCUGUCUUGGCAUCAGCUUCUUGGAGGACUUGAACUGAUAUGCACUCAACAGCCAGUAAAUCCUGCUAAUUCACAAAAUCCUUGAUUAUCAGUACUAAAGAAAGACACUGGGGGUGAAGAUGUCAUCUUCUAAAAGACUUACUGGGGAUAAUCUACCACCAAAUGUAGGUGGCAAAUGCCAUCUUUGAUCACAUAAUGGAAUCAAUGAAGGAGGUUAUUGAUCUGGUUCAGAGGUGACUUUAGAAUGUCCCAAACCCUUUAAAUAUGUGUGUAUUGAGUAUGUGUGCAAUUCUCCUUGAAGAACAUUUAUACCUUUCAUCUCAUUAAUCUACAAAAUUAUCAGCAGUGGCAGCUAAUUGUCAGUUAACUAGGUAGUUGACAAGUCACAUUAACAUGAAAUCUGUGUUUCAUGUAAAUAAAAAAAAUAAAAUGACUUAUUUUAUGCAA